Small nuclear RNA from Drosophila suzukii, 270 nucleotides. RefSeq annotates it as U11 spliceosomal RNA. NCBI's taxonomy places the organism in Eukaryota, Metazoa, Arthropoda, Insecta, Diptera, Drosophilidae. The record is from RefSeq and is a predicted model, not a curated record.
AAAAAGGGCGCUCGUCCUGGCACGUUCGAUCACUGAACACAAGUGCAGACGCAUUGCGCCGCAGGAGCGUCUCCUUCGCUCCGCCCCUGGGUUUCCAGGAGCGGGCGGGGGCGAGCGUACCAUUGCCGCCUUCGACGGCUCCUUGCGCGCCCAGUGGGGUAUGGCUUUGCAUAUCCAGUGCGUAAUUUUUUGACCUGGGGCCGCGGCUGCAUAUCCUGGAUUGCUCGUGGGAUCCCCGGAUCCCCCUGCGUGCCUGUGCGCUGCGCCCCG